GACCUCGAGUGCCAGGUUACAAAUCUGGCUGUCGUGAUGCCUAAAAAGCAUUGCAUAGCAAGGGCCGGGCAAGACCGGUGCCAGCCGCCGCGGUAACACCGGCGGCUCGAGUGGUAACCGUUAUUAUUGGGUCUAAAGGGUCUGUAGCCGGCCGGAUAAGUCUCUUGAGAAAUCCAGCAGCUCAACUGUUGGGCUUUCAGGAGAUACUGUUCGGCUCGAGGCCGGGAGAGGUGAGAGGUACUUCAGGGGUAGGGGUGAAAUCUUGUAAUCCUUGAAGGACCACCAGUGGCGAAGGCGUCUCACCAGAACGGACCUGACGGCAAGGGACGAAAGCUAGGGGCACGAACCGGAUUAGAUACCCGGGUAGUCCUAGCCGUAAACGAUACUCGCUAGGUGUCGGCCACGGUGCGACCGUUGUCGGUGCCGUAGGGAAGCCG
RNAcentral lists this ribosomal RNA (437 nucleotides) under uncultured archaeon. Its description in RNAcentral is "bacterial SSU rRNA". It matches the Rfam family "Archaeal small subunit ribosomal RNA", at positions 377 to 814 of the family's 1478-position model. The record is from RNAcentral.